Molecule: ribosomal RNA, 76 nt
Filed under: Lepiota sp. DK-07
Lineage: Eukaryota; Fungi; Basidiomycota; Agaricomycetes; Agaricales; Agaricaceae
Description: partial 5.8S ribosomal RNA
Rfam family: 5.8S ribosomal RNA
About the family: 5.8S ribosomal RNA (5.8S rRNA) is a component of the large subunit of the eukaryotic ribosome. It is transcribed by RNA polymerase I as part of the 45S precursor that also contains 18S and 28S rRNA. Functionally, it is thought that 5.8S rRNA may be involved in ribosome translocation.
Source: RNAcentral
CAACUUUCAGCAACGGAUCUCUUGGCUCUCGCAUCGAUGAAGAACGCAGCGAAAUGCGAUACGUAAUGUGAAUUGC